Molecule: unclassified non-coding RNA, 148 nt
Filed under: soil metagenome
Description: partial internal transcribed spacer 1
Source: RNAcentral
CCGAGUUCACAACUCCCAAACCCCUGUGAACAUACCUAUACGUUGCCUCGGCGGAUCAGCCCGCGCCCCGUAAAAAGGGACGGCCCGCCCGAGGACCCCUAAACUCUGUUUUUAGUGGAACUUCUGAGUAAAACAAACAAAUAAAUCA